This 468-nucleotide ribosomal RNA is filed under the name uncultured bacterium. RNAcentral's name for it is "partial 16S ribosomal RNA". It matches the Rfam family "Bacterial small subunit ribosomal RNA", at positions 28 to 507 of the family's 1533-position model. The record is from RNAcentral.
GACGAACGCUGGCGGCGUGCUUAACACAUGCAAGUCGAACGGAAAGGCCCUGCUUUUGUGGGGUGCUCGAGUGGCGAACGGGUGAGUAACACGUGAGUAACCUGCCCUUGACUUUGGGAUAACUUCAGGAAACUGGGGCUAAUACCGGAUAGGAGCUCCUGCUGCAUGGUGGGGGUUGGAAAGUUUCGGCGGUUGGGGAUGGACUCGCGGCUUAUCAGCUUGUUGGUGGGGUAGUGGCUUACCAAGGCUUUGACGGGUAGCCGGCCUGAGAGGGUGACCGGCCACAUUGGGACUGAGAUACGGCCCAGACUCGAACGGGAGGCAGCAGUGGGGAAUAUUGCACAAUGGGCGGAAGCCUGAUGCAGCAACGCCGCGUGCGGGAUGACGGCCUUCGGGUUGUAAACCGCUUUCGCCUGUGACGAAGCGUGAGUGACGGUAAUGGGUAAAGAAGCACCGGCUAACUACGUG